This 69-nucleotide transfer RNA is filed under the name Lepomis punctatus (spotted sunfish). RNAcentral's name for it is "tRNA-Arg". It matches the Rfam family "tRNA". Rfam says of the family: Transfer RNA (tRNA) molecules are approximately 80 nucleotides in length. Their secondary structure includes four short double-helical elements and three loops (D, anti-codon, and T loops). Lineage: Eukaryota; Metazoa; Chordata; Actinopteri; Centrarchiformes; Centrarchidae. The record is from RNAcentral.
AGACAGUUAGUUUAAGUAAAACACUUGAUUUCGGCUCAAGUACUUGUGGUUAGAGUCCACAACUAUCUA